GGGAACCACUAGCACAGGCAAUGGGAGAGAAGAAAGCUGGGCCCAGGGGAGCCACGGAGAACUGGAUUCGAAUCCUGACUCAGCUCUUGUGAGCUGUGUGAUCUUCUUCCUUCCCCUCUGAGCCUCAUUUUUAGUCAUUUUAAAUCAUCUACAAAAUGAAGACAGUUCAGGUUAGGUUUGCCUACAUGAAACAGAAAACCCACAUAAUAAUAAUGGUUUAAAGAAACUAGAAGUUUAUUAAUCUCUUACAAGAAAGAAGCCUGAAGUGGACAACACAGGGCUGCCCCGGUAGCAGCCUGGGCGUGGAUCCAGGAUCCUUCUAACUUUCUGCUGCUGUCCUCAAGUUCUCCUCAUGGUCCAAAGUGGCUGCUUGAUCUCCAGCUAUCAUGACUACAUUCCAGGACUCAGAACUGGAGGCAGCAUCCUGCAGGCUCGCAGAGUGGAGCAUCCCAGCAUCCUGAGACUGCGGAAGGUCUGCCUGUGAGCCCAAGCUGUGGGUAGGGUUUCCAGAGCACAGAUCAGAUGUGCCUGAUUUCCACCAGACCUGUCACUCCCCGUCCAGUGACCAAGAGCAUGGGCAAUGGGAGAGAAGGAAGCUGGAUCCAGGAGGGAGGGCCUGAGACCCGUUCCAGGCUCACAUCAAAUCAUCCUUGAUUUCAGAGUGCCUACCAAAAAGAAAUUUCCCAGGGAAAGGCUGUGAUUGGCUAGACCUGGGUCAUGUGCCCCACCCUGGAACAAUCUUUGCAACAGCGUGGAAGAAACACCAUGGUGGGUCAGGCCUGGGUUAUGUGCCCAGCCAUGUAGCCAGAAGGGAGGUGAAAGGGGAUGGACAGGCCCACCAGAGCCACAAGGUAAGGCGCAUUUCUCUAAAAAAAGGAAAGCUAGGCAGAUUAAAAAAAACAAAAAACAAAAAACAGACAUUCAUUCUUGCUAUGUAUUUAUUUAUUGAGAUAGAAUCUCUCUCUGUCUCCCAGGCUGGAGUGCAGUGGCGCAGUCUCAGCUCACUGCAACCACUGAUUCCCAGGCUCAAGUGAUUCUCAUGCCUCAGCCUCCUGAGUAGCUGGGACUACAGGCACGCACCACCAUGCUUGGAUAAUUUUUUGUAUUUUUUUUGGUAGAGACAGGGUUUUACCAUGUUGGCUGGGCUAGUCUCGAACUCCUGGCCUCAAGUAAUCAGCCCACUUCAGCC
This 1189-nucleotide long non-coding RNA is filed under the name Piliocolobus tephrosceles (Ugandan red Colobus). RNAcentral describes it as "lncRNA (ENSPTEG00000020735.1)". Lineage: Eukaryota; Metazoa; Chordata; Mammalia; Primates; Cercopithecidae. The record is from RNAcentral.